This 253-nucleotide ribosomal RNA is filed under the name uncultured bacterium. Its description in RNAcentral is "partial 16S ribosomal RNA". It matches the Rfam family "Bacterial small subunit ribosomal RNA", at positions 524 to 776 of the family's 1533-position model. The record is from RNAcentral.
UACGUAGGGGGCUAGCGUUGUCCGGAAUCAUUGGGCGUAAAGCGCGCGUAGGCGGCCCGGUAAGUCCGCUGUGAAAGUCAAAGGCUCAACCUUUGAAUGUCAGCGGAUACUGCCGGGCUAGAGUCCGGAAGAGGCGAGUGGAAUUCCUGGUGUAGCGGUGGAAUGCGCAGAUAUCAGGAGGAACACCAACGGCGAAGGCAGCUCGCUGGGACGGUACUGACGCUGAGGCACGAAGGUCAGGGGAGCAAACGGG